UACAGAGGUCUCAAGCGUUGUUCGGAUUCAUUGGGCGUAAGGGGUGCGUAGGUGGCGCGCUAAGUCAGGUGUGAAAUUUCGGAGCUUAACUCCGAAACUGCAUUUGAUACUGGCGUGCUUGAGGACUGGAGAGGAGACUGGAAUUCAUGGUGUAGCAGUGAAAUGCGUAGAGAUCAUGAGGAAGACCAGUGGCGAAGGCGGGUCUCUGGACAGUUCCUGACACUGAGGCACGAAGGCCAGGGGAGCAAACGGG
Molecule: ribosomal RNA, 253 nt
Filed under: uncultured bacterium
Lineage: Bacteria
Description: partial 16S ribosomal RNA
Rfam family: Bacterial small subunit ribosomal RNA
Source: RNAcentral